RNAcentral lists this ribosomal RNA (380 nucleotides) under uncultured Tulasnellaceae. Its description in RNAcentral is "eukaryotic LSU rRNA". The record is from RNAcentral. Lineage: Eukaryota; Fungi; Basidiomycota; Agaricomycetes; Cantharellales; Tulasnellaceae.
CGCACCUUGCACCCUCUGGUAUUCCGGAGGGUAUGCCCGGUUGAGUAUUAUAAUCGACUCAAGCCUCUGGUUUCUAAUCGCAAAGGUCGGAUGACCGACGAAACUGUCUAUUGGGACGGUGGUAGUUGGAGUUUGACUUGGAAUCCGGAUGGCCUUGGACUUGAGCGCAUGUCGGUUUCACUUAGAGAUCGACUCGCUUGAAAUGUAUUAGCUGGCGACCCGACUAACGGUUUCACUCGACGUAGUAAGCCUUUAUUUCGUUGAGGACAUCUUUUCUUAAGGUGACCGGUAGACACGGGUGUUGAGCCGCUUCUAAUUGUCUUAGGACAAGCGACCGAAAGUCUAAUCUCAACUCGGGUAGGAUUACCCGCUGAACUUAA